GAUUAAGUUAUUAAGGGCGCACGGUGAAUGCCUUGGCACUAGAAGCCGAUGAAGGACGUUACUAACGACGAUAUGCUUUGGGGAGCUGUAAGUAAGCUAUGAUCCAGAGAUUUCCGAAUGGGGGAACCCAACACGAGUUAUGUCGUGUUAUCGACAUGUGAAUUCAUAACAUGUCAGAAGGUAGACCCGGAGAACUGAAACAUCUUAGUACCCGGAGGAAUAGAAAGAAAAUUCGAUUCCCUGAGUAGCGGCGAGCGAAACGGGAAGAGCCCAAACCAAUGAGCUUGCUCAUUGGGGUUGUAGGACACUCUAUACGGAGUUACAAAUGUAUUUGUUAGACGAAGUAGUUGGAAAGCUACAUCAAAGAAGGUAAUAAUCCUGUAGUCGAAAAUGAAUACACUCUUGAGUGGAUCCUGAGUACGACGGAGCACGUGAAAUUCUGUCGGAAUCUAGGAGGACCAUCUCCUAAGGCUAAAUACUCUCUAGUGACCGAUAGUGAACCAGUACCGUGAGGGAAAGGUGAAAAGUACCCCGGAAGGGGAGUGAAAAAGAACUUGAAACCGUGUGCUUACAAGUAGUCAGAGCCCGUUAAUGGGUGAUGGCGUGCCUUUUGUAGAAUGAACCGGCGAGUUACGAUCUGAUGCAAGGUUAAGCAGUGAAUGUGGAGCCGUAGCGAAAGCGAGUCUGAAUAGGGCGAAUGAGUAUUUGGUCGUAGACCCGAAACCAGGUGAUCUACCCAUGGUCAGGUUGAAGUUCAGGUAACACUGAAUGGAGGACC
RNAcentral lists this ribosomal RNA (778 nucleotides) under Staphylococcus pettenkoferi. RNAcentral describes it as "partial 23S ribosomal RNA". It matches the Rfam family "Bacterial large subunit ribosomal RNA", at positions 1 to 775 of the family's 2925-position model. The record is from RNAcentral. Lineage: Bacteria; Bacillati; Bacillota; Bacilli; Caryophanales; Staphylococcaceae.